GAUGAAGAACGUAGCGAAAUGCGAUAAGUAAUGCGAAUUGCAGAAUUUCCGUGAGUCAUCGAAUCUUUGAACGCACAUUGCGCCCACUGGUAUUCCGGUGGGCAUGCCUGUUCGAGCGUCAUUAUCCUCCCUCAAACCCCGGGUUUGGUGUUGGACCCAAGUUGUGUGAACAACUGGUCUUAAAGACAAUGAUGGCGUCCGUGGGACCCUCGGUGCAACGAGCUUUUAGGAGCACGCAUCGAGUUGCAAGGACCUUCCGGGCCGGUCUCCUUUACUAUUUUACAAGGUUGACCUCGGAUCAGGUAGGAAUACCCGCUGAACUUAAGCAUAUCAAUAAGCGGAGGA
RNAcentral lists this unclassified non-coding RNA (345 nucleotides) under soil metagenome. Its description in RNAcentral is "partial contains 5.8S ribosomal RNA, internal transcribed spacer 2, and large subunit ribosomal RNA". The stretch from base 1 to 121 matches the Rfam family "5.8S ribosomal RNA", at positions 35 to 154 of the family's 154-position model. The record is from RNAcentral.